RNAcentral lists this ribosomal RNA (435 nucleotides) under uncultured bacterium. RNAcentral's name for it is "bacterial SSU rRNA". It matches the Rfam family "Bacterial small subunit ribosomal RNA", at positions 29 to 507 of the family's 1533-position model. The record is from RNAcentral.
AACGUACGCUGGCGGCACGCCUAACACAUGCAAGUCGAACGCAGUAGCAAUACUGAGUGGCAGACGGGUGAGUAACAUGUGGGAAUCUGCCUUGUGGUUCAGGACAACAUUGGGAAACCGAUGCUAAUACUGGAUAAGCCCUUACGGGGAAAGUUUUAAUGCCAUAAGAUGAGCCCGCAUUUGAUUAGUUAGUUGGUGAGGUAAUGGCUCACCAAGACAAUGAUCAAUAGCUGAUCUGAGAGGAUGAUCAGCCACACUGGGACUGAGACACGGCCCAGACUCCUACGGGAGGCAGCAGUGGGGAAUCUUGGACAAUGGGCGAAAGCCUGAUCCAGCAAUGCCGCGUGAGUGAUGAAGGCCUUAGGGUUGUAAAGCUCUUUUACCAGGGAUGAUAAUGACAGUACCUGGAGAAUAAGCUCCGGCUAAACCUCCGUG